AAGGACUUUGAAAAGAGAGUC
RNAcentral lists this small nuclear RNA (21 nucleotides) under Arabidopsis thaliana (thale cress). RNAcentral's name for it is "snRNA_10194". The record is from RNAcentral. Lineage: Eukaryota; Viridiplantae; Streptophyta; Magnoliopsida; Brassicales; Brassicaceae.